RNAcentral lists this ribosomal RNA (253 nucleotides) under uncultured prokaryote. RNAcentral describes it as "partial 16S ribosomal RNA". It matches the Rfam family "Bacterial small subunit ribosomal RNA", at positions 524 to 776 of the family's 1533-position model. The record is from RNAcentral.
UACGGAGGGUGCGAGCGUUAAUCGGAAUUACUGGGCGUAAAGCGCGCGUAGGCGGUUUGUUAAGUCAGCUGUGAAAGCCCCGGGCUCAACCUGGGAACUGCAGUUGAUACUGGCCGACUGGAGUGCGAGAGAGGGAGGUAGAAUUCCAUGUGUAGCGGUGAAAUGCGUAGAUAUCAGGAGGAACACCAGUGGCGAAGGCGGCUUUCUGGACGGUAACUGACGCUGAGGCGCGAAAGCGUGGGGAGCAAACAGG